AUAUAUAUAUCAACCUCUCUUGUUGAGUGGUUUGGAUGUGGGGGGAUUUUUGCUGGCCUGUUCAGCUCCUCUGAAAUGCAUUAGCAGAACAACCUGUUCAUUGGUGUGAUAACUAUCUACGCUAUUGAAUGUGAGGUGCAGUUCAGCUUUCUAACAGUCUUUGGACAGUUUGUUUAUCAUUUAU
Molecule: unclassified non-coding RNA, 184 nt
Filed under: uncultured Cortinarius
Lineage: Eukaryota; Fungi; Basidiomycota; Agaricomycetes; Agaricales; Cortinariaceae
Description: sequence contains ITS2
Source: RNAcentral